GUAAUCAUAUGCUNGUNUCAAAGANUAAGCCAUGCAAGUCUCAGUAUGAGCCGAAUUAAGGUGAAACCGCGAAUGGCUCAAUAUAUCAGUUAUGGUUCCUUAGAUCGUACACAGUUACUUGGAUAACUGUGGCAAUUCUAGAGCUAAUACAUGCAAACGAAGUCCCGACCUGUACCACAGGGAGGGAUGCUUUUAUUAGAUCAAAAACCAAUCGGCGGCGGGGCGACCCGUUCGCCGCUCUCGGAGAUGACUCUAGAUAACUUUGAGCCGAUCGCACGGUCUAGCACCGGCGACGCAUCUUUCAAAUGUCUGCCUUAUCAACUGUCGAUGGUAGUUUAUGCGACUACCAUGGUUGUCACGGGUAACGGGGAAUCAGGGUUCGAUUCCGGAGAGGGAGCCUGAGAAACGGCUACCACAUCCACGGAAGGCAGCAGGCGCGCAAAUUACCCACUCCCGGCACGGGGAGGUAGUGACGAAAAAUAACGAUACGGGACUCGUCCGAGGCCUCGUGAUCGGAAUGAUUACACUUUAAAUCCUUUAACGAGGAUCCAUUGGAGGGCAAGUCUGGUGCCAGCAGCCGCGGUAAUUCCAGCUCCAAUAGCAUAUACUAAAGUUGUUGCGGUUAAAAAGCUCGUAGUUGAAAUUGUGUCUUGCGGUGUCGGUCUACCGACUGCGGUACGACAGGCACGUCUGCGGGGCUUCUCGCCGGUGCGUCCACCGCCAGCACGUUGCGGUCGUCCCUCACGGGGCGGCCGCUCGUCGAGGCGGGCCGUCGCGGCUGUUUACUUUGAACAAAUUAGAGUGCUCAAAGCGGGCUAAGUUUUGCCUGAAUAUUGUACGCAUGGAAUAAUAGAAUAGGACCUCGGUUCUGUUUUGUUGGCUUUCUGAUACCAGAGGUAAUGAUUAAUAGGGACAACUGGGGGCAUUCGUAUUGCGACGUUAGAGGUGAAAUUCUUGGAUCGUCGCAAGACGGACUAAAGCGAAAGCAUUUGCCAAANGUGUUUUCAUUAAUCAAGAACGAAAGUUAGAGGUUCGAAGGCGAUUAGAUACCGCUGUAGUUCUAACCAUAAAUGAUGCCAGCCAGCGAUCCGCCGAUGUUUCAAAAAUUUAACACGGUGGGCAGCUCCCGGGAAACCAAAGCUUUCGGGCUCCGGGGGGAGUAUGGUUGCAAAGCUGAAACUUAAAGGAAUUGACGGAAGGGCACCACCAGGAGUGGAGCCUGCGGCUUAAUUCGACUCAACACGGGAAAACUCACCAGGCCCGGACACUGGAAGGAUUGACGGAUUAACAGCUCUUUCUCGAUUCGGUGGGUGGUGGUGCAUGGCCGCUCUUAGUUGGUGGAGCGAUUUGUCAGGUUAAUUCCGGUAACGAACGUAACUCACCGGCGGUAUAUAUAGCCGCACGAGAUUGAGCAAUAGCAGGUCUGUGAUGCCCUUAGAUGUCCUGGGCCGCACGCGCGCUACACUGAAGGGAUCAGCGUGUCCUCCUUGGCCUAACGGCCCGGGUAACCCGAUGAAACCCCUUCGUGAUAGGGAUUGGGGUUUGAAAUUCUCCCCCAUGAACGAGGAAUUCCUAGUAAAAGCGAGUCACCAGCUCGCGUUGAUUGCGUCCCUGCCCUUUGUACACACCGCCCGUCGCUACUACCGAUGGAUGAUUUGGUGAGGUCUUCGGACUGGCGCGCGGACCGCCCUUCACGGGGCAUCCGACGCGUCGGAAAGUUUGACCGAAUUUGAUCAUUAGAGGAAGUAAAAGUCGUAAC
This 1759-nucleotide ribosomal RNA is filed under the name Agapetus sp. AN3. Its description in RNAcentral is "SSU rRNA". It matches the Rfam family "Eukaryotic small subunit ribosomal RNA". Lineage: Eukaryota; Metazoa; Arthropoda; Insecta; Trichoptera; Glossosomatidae. The record is from RNAcentral.